Molecule: ribosomal RNA, 827 nt
Filed under: uncultured Sebacinales
Lineage: Eukaryota; Fungi; Basidiomycota; Agaricomycetes; Sebacinales
Description: eukaryotic LSU rRNA
Rfam family: Eukaryotic large subunit ribosomal RNA (bases 158-827)
Source: RNAcentral
CCGUUUUAUCACGGCUCGUCUUAAAUGCUUGAGUGUACCCUGUUUUGCAGCGUAUCCAGUGUAAUAAACAUUUCACUAGAGUUGGUUGAGAGACCGCGUUUUGCCAUUCGGGCUCUAUGCUUCGAACCGUCCACUUGUGGACAAUUUCUUGACAAUUUGACCUCAAAUCGGGUGGGACUACCCGCUGAACUUAAGCAUAUCAAUAAGCGGAGGAAAAGAAACUAACAAGGAUUCCCCUAGUAACGGCGAGUGAAGAGGGAAAAGCUCAAAUUUUGAAUCUGGUGUCUUUGACUCCCGAGUUGUAAUCUAGAGAAGUGUUUUCCGUGUCGGACCGUGUACAAGUUCCCUGGAACGGGGCGUCAUAGAGGGUGAGAAUCCCGUAUAUGCCACGGACUACCGAUGCUCUGUGAUACACUCUCAACGAGUCGAGUUGUUUGGGAAUGCAGCUCAAAAUGGGUGGUAAAUUCCAUCUAAAGCUAAAUAUUGGCGAGAGACCGAUAGCGAACAAGUACCGUGAGGGAAAGAUGAAAAGCACUUUGGAAAGAGAGUGAAACAGUACGUGAAAUUGUUGAAAGGGAAGCGUUUGAAGUCAGUCGCAUCUGUUGGGGUUCAGCCUGGCUUUUGCCUGGUGUAUUUCCUUUCCGAUGGGUCAGCAUCAGUUUCGACCGAGGGAAAAAGACAUUUGGAAUGUGGCUGUCUUCGGGCAGUGUUAUAGCCUUGUGUUGUAUGUCUCGGUUGGGACUGAGGAUUGCAGCGCGCCAUAAAUGGCCGGGGGUCGCUCCUCUCGACACGCGCUUAGGAUGCUGGCAUAAUGGCUUUAAGCGACC